GAGGAAUCUUGUCAGGAUUAUACCCUUCUAGCUUGUGCGUUCAUGUUGGAGGUCACGGUGAUCAAUUUGAAUGGGCUUAAAGUGAAUAGAAAUGGUUUAUAGUAGAUGUAUAAACAGGAAAUAGCUCUAUAUUUUUUCCUGUUUCCAGGAGUGCUUGCCAUUCAUUACUUGGUCUUCAGGAGACGAUUCUUGUCUCAUGUAAACUCCUCCGCAAAGAAUUAUGUAUGCCUGGG
Molecule: unclassified non-coding RNA, 233 nt
Filed under: Hevea brasiliensis (rubber tree)
Lineage: Eukaryota; Viridiplantae; Streptophyta; Magnoliopsida; Malpighiales; Euphorbiaceae
Source: RNAcentral